RNAcentral lists this ribosomal RNA (450 nucleotides) under uncultured bacterium. Its description in RNAcentral is "partial 16S ribosomal RNA". It matches the Rfam family "Bacterial small subunit ribosomal RNA", at positions 354 to 796 of the family's 1533-position model. The record is from RNAcentral.
GUGGGGAAUAUUCCGCAAUGGACGAAAGUCUGACGGAGCAACGCCGCGUGAGUGAUGAAGGUUUUCGGACUGUAAAGCUCUGUUGUUUAGGACGAAAGUGCCUGUUGCGAACAGUUACAGGUAUUGACGGUACUAAACGAGGAAGCCACGGCUAACUACGUGCCAGCAGCCGCGGUAAUACGUAGGUGGCAAGCGUUGUCCGGAUUUAUUGGGCGUAAAGAGCAUGUAGGCGGAGAUUUAAGUCUGUUGUGAAAAUGCGGGGCUCAACCCCGUAUUGCGAUGGAAACUGAAUGUCUUGAGUGCAGGAGAGGAAAGGGGAAUUCCCAGUGUAGCGGUGAAAUGCGUAGAUAUUGGGAGGAACACCAGUGGCGAAGGCGCCUUUCUGGACUGUGUCUGACGCUGAGAUGCGAAAGCCAGGGUAGCGAACGGGAUUAGAAACCCUGGUAGUCC